RNAcentral lists this long non-coding RNA (217 nucleotides) under Brassica rapa (field mustard). RNAcentral describes it as "long non-coding RNA (BRAP_LNC004438)". The record is from RNAcentral. Lineage: Eukaryota; Viridiplantae; Streptophyta; Magnoliopsida; Brassicales; Brassicaceae.
GAGACUGCCCUGGUGUAUCACAUUGUUUCUCUACUGCACGAAACCGAAAUCUGAUUUAUUUACUAUUAAGGAGAGUCCAGUUGUCAAAAAAGAAGUGUCCAUCCGAGUUACUUAAACUUGUCACCAAAAAUGUGACGUGUUGUAAACUAAUUGGAAAGCAAGUCAAAAGCUCAUCACGUGGCAUAUUCGCCAACAAGUCACAAAACCACUAUAGAAA